AGAGUUUGAUCCUGGCUCAGGACGAACGCUGGCGGCGUGCCUAACACAUGCAAGUCGAACGGAGUUAACCGCUGAAUUGACACUAGCUUGCUAGAAGAUUUUCUUGGUUAACUUAGUGGCGGACGGGUGAGUAACGCGUGAGGAACCUGCCCUUCAGAGGGGGACAACAGUUGGAAACGACUGCUAAUACCGCAUAACGUACAGAUGGGACAUCCCGACUGUACCAAAGGAGCAAUCCGCUGAAGGAUGGCCUCGCGUCUGAUUAGAUAGUUGGUGAGGUAACGGCUCACCAAGUCGACGAUCAGUAGCCGGACUGAGAGGUUGAACGGCCACAUUGGGACUGAGACACGGCCCAGACUCCUACGGGAGGCAGCAGUGGGGGAUAUUGCACAAUGGGGGAAACCCUGAUGCAGCAACGCCGCGUGAGGGAAGAAGGUUUUCGGAUUGUAAACCUCUGUUUUUAGUGAAGAAUAAUGACGGUAGCUAAAGAGGAAGCCACGGCUAACUACGUGCCAGCAGCCGCGGUAAUACGUAGGUGGCAAACGUUGUCCGGAAUUACUGGGUGUAAAGGGUGCGCAGGCGGGACUGCAAGUUGGAUGUGAAAUACCGAGGCUCAACCUCGGAGCUGCAUCCAAAACUGUAGUUCUUGAGUGAAGUAGAGGUAAGCGGAAUUCCGAGUGUAGCGGUGGAAUGCGUAGAUAUUCGGAGGAACACCAGUGGCGAAGGCGGCUUACUGGGCUUUAACUGACGCUGAGGCACGAAAGCAUGGGGAGCAAACAGGAUUAGAUACCCUGGUAGUCCAUGCCGUAAACGAUGAAUGCUAGGUGUGGGGGGACUGACCCCUUCCGUGCCCGAGUAAACACAAUAA
This 868-nucleotide ribosomal RNA is filed under the name uncultured bacterium. Its description in RNAcentral is "bacterial SSU rRNA". It matches the Rfam family "Bacterial small subunit ribosomal RNA", at positions 8 to 863 of the family's 1533-position model. The record is from RNAcentral.